Drosophila virilis is the source of this 1982-nucleotide non-coding RNA. Lineage: Eukaryota; Metazoa; Arthropoda; Insecta; Diptera; Drosophilidae. The record is from RefSeq and is a predicted model, not a curated record.
GUGUUGCAAAGUGAGCGUGCGCAUUUGCGUUUAUCGUUAUCGUGUAUCGCCACAGACAAGUGUUGUGUGGCGACUGUUAAAAGUAAGUUGGCAGUACUCAAAGUGUUGCUAAUUGCCAAAUUGCACGUGCGCAUUCAAAUUGGAUUUAACUAAUUGGAACUUUAAAAUUUACGUUAAAUUAUUUAUGGUAAUUAAAUUUGAUAUUUCUUAUUAAGGAUUUUAGGUAAAUAUUGGUUAUAAAUUCAAUAUCAAAUAUCAAAUAUAAUUAGGACUCCUUGUAGCUUUAUUUAAGAGCAUGUUUUUAUUUUUAAAUUCAUAUUUUUAACUUUAUUAAUAGAUUUAAUCGUAAAUGAAACUUCAACCGAAUUACUACUAAUUUAGUAACGUCAAAAAAUCAAACGAGCUUAAAUCGAUAAAUUUAUAUGUUUUAUCGAAACUUACUUUUAUUGCCAUUUUUUAUCGUCAAAUUUAGAAUUUGACUACACUGUACUUUUUCACCUGACAUUUCAAAAGGACAGCAAAAUUUUCAACUCAAUUGAAUAUGUUUUCGCAUGAACUUUGAAAAUUGAAAAUAAUUAUAGAUUGUCAAACUGUUGAGCUUAAUUAAAAGCUUAUAGCUUAAAAAUUAAAAAUACAUAUUUUCACAUAUUCUUAGAUUAGUUUCUGCGUGUAUUUCGCUAGCGAUAAGUUUCUUAUUUUGCAGUCUAAAGUUACACAAAUAGAUAGUUUUCAUGCAAAUGGUAAAUAGCAUAUAGUUUUUUUUUUUUAAUUGUCUUUUGAACGCUUUUAAAGCUAGUUAUUGGAUAAGAUAUAACGAGGUUAGAUGCAGUUAAAUCUUAUUUAGUUACUUCCUAAAUGACAAUUUUGACAGAUGGACUUCGCAUAAAAUACUUCAGUCAUCGACUCCUUUUUGAAGUUACGUUUUGAAAGUCACUGAAUUGCAGUUUUAAAGUCACUAUUCCAAUAUUCGAAAUACUUUACAUGAAACUGGCAACUUAAACAUUUCUUAAGCGAUUUCUAUAACAAAUUAGACUCCAACAUAUUAUCUCUUUGAUUACAACUUUAAGUCAGUUAAAAAAUUUCUUUAAAAUAAUGCGAACUCGUCAUUUUAUUGUCAUAGUUAAUAUAUAUUUAAUUAUAUUAACUGUUAAUAUUCCAUAUGUUCAAUAGCUCGAGAGCAGCUCGACAAUUGAAAUAAUUUUUCUUGGCUUGUUCAUCUCUACUCAGAAAUCGAAAUUUGCUCUUUGUAUUGCUCUUGAAAAGAUGGCUUUGACUUAUGUAUCAAAGCCACAUCCUGUCAAUUGAGUUGCUUGUACUGUUAGCAAUUCGUGUUUCAAGUCAGUUCCUGAAAGUUUCUCGACUCGACCAGAUCGAGCGGUUGUGCAAAAUAUUUCAGCGAAUAAUUAAAUAAUCUAAAUGAUAUGAAAUUAGUUCGUUUAUGCAAUUAACUCAGUUUUGUUAAGUUCUCAGUGAGCGUGAAUAACAAAGCCCAAGAAUGCGAGAAGCUGAAACAGGGACAAUGAAAGAAAUAAACGUAUUCGAGCUUCCAAUUUCGUCACUGCGAAGGUGAUUCUGGCCAGCCAACGCCGGGUAUUUUAUUUUGGUCUUGAAAACGCGAUUGUUUUAAUUUUUGAGGCAAACAAAACAACUUUUCCGUUUGAGAUUAGCGAAAUUUGAAUUGUUAAAGAAUUGAUAAAAUCCAUCCUAUUGUCCGUUCAUAUACUUGUGUAUCUCUGUAUUUUUCUAAGCAAGCCUCGAUCAAGUUUAAGUUUUACAAAGAUCCUCUUCUACUCUACGUUAAAUGAGCCGAGUUCAUCGAAUCGGAGUUGUUGUAAACACGCUAUAGGCCAAAAAAUUGAGUUCUAGCACAAGAAUUUUAUUUUAUUUUGGCGAUAAAUGUGCAACCCAAAACUUAAAACACGUAGCUUUCUUAAGAUCGAUUGAGGAUCGUAAAUAAAAUUGCUGCUAGAAAAAUUUCUUAA